CCCCUUACGGGGAAAGAUUUAUCGCCGAAAGAUCGGCCCGCGUCUGAUUAGCUAGUUGGUAGGGUAAUGGCCUACCAAGGCGACGAUCAGUAGCUGGUCUGAGAGGAUGAUCAGCCACAUUGGGACUGAGACACGGCCCAAACUCCUACGGGAGGCAGCAGUGGGGAAUAUUGGACAAUGGGGGCAACCCUGAUCCAGCCAUGCCGCGUGAGUGAUGAAGGCCCUAGGGUUGUAAAGCUCUUUUGUGCGGGAAGAUAAUGACGGUACCGCAAGAAUAAGCCCCGGCUAACUUCGUGCCAGCAGCCGCGGUAAUACGAAGGGGGCUAGCGUUGCUCGGAAUCACUGGGCGUAAAGGGUGCGUAGGCGGGUCUUUAAGUCAGGGGUGAAAUCCUGGAGCUCAACUCCAGAACUGCCUUUGAUACUGAAGAUCUUGAGUUCGGGAGAGGUGAGUGGAACUGCGAGUGUAGAGGUGAAAUUCGUAGAUAUUCGCAAGAACACCA
This 500-nucleotide ribosomal RNA is filed under the name uncultured bacterium. RNAcentral's name for it is "bacterial SSU rRNA". It matches the Rfam family "Bacterial small subunit ribosomal RNA", at positions 191 to 711 of the family's 1533-position model. The record is from RNAcentral.